ACUUGCAGUUAUCCGAUCUAUUUGAAAAGUCUUUGAUUAGCUUCUAAAAUUUGAUUCGUUGAGAAGUGAUUGAUUUUAGAAAUAUUUUUGAAAGUUUGCAAAGAUUAGUUUUUAGCAAACUCAUUAAGGGAUUUGACUAGGUUCACAAGAAGGCAUGCAAAACAUAUAAUAAUAAAAAGAAAGGGGAAGGGGGAAGAAAUAGUGAUUUGGGCUUUGAAGCCCAAACCGUUAAACCUUUCCUAAUCUAGUUGGGGUUUUCAACCCGUUUCUCCUUUCACCUGCAUUAAGUACAACUUUGGCUUCGAGGCUCGAAUAAAUAAUUGAAAGAAUAAAUAAAGACAACAAAUAAAUAAAUAUAAAGGAGACACGAGUCCCGUCGCCACUUCAAGAAUGGGACUUUAACCUACUCUUUCUUCUUUCACUGGUGACAGUUUCUUUUCUUUAGAAAUAUAUCAAAAUUUCAACACUUGAAGGGGUUGACUUGAAAAGGCCAUGGACCUUCUUAACCCUCACAGAGAUGCAACUGGAAAGAGUCCAAUUGGACUCACGACAAUUGGGGAUUUGACUAGGUUCACAAGAAGGCAUGCAAAACAUAUAAUAAUAAAAAGAAAGGGGAAGGGGGAAGAAAUAGUGAUUUGGGCUUUGAAGCCCAAACCGUUAAACCUUUCCUAAUCUAGUUGGGGUUUUCAACCCGUUUCUCCUUUCACCUGCAUUAAGUACAACUUUGGCUUCGAGGCUCGAAUAAAUAAUUGAAAGAAUAAAUAAAGACAACAAAUAAAUAAAUAUAAAGGAGACACGAGUCCCAUCGCCGCUUGAAGAAUGGAACUUUAACCCACUCUUUCUUCUUUCACUGGUGACAGUUUCUUUUCUUCAAAAAUAUAUCAAAAUUUCAACACUUGAAGGGGUUGACUUGAAAAGGCCAUGGACCUUCUUAACCCUCGCAGAGAUGCAACUGGAAAGAGUCCAAUUGGACUCACGACAAUUUUAUAUGCAAAGAAAGAAAGGACUGAAAAGAUAAGAAUCUAACAAACAUCAUUAAAUUCAAAAGACUAAGUAAAGUGCGUAUUUAAAAAAAUUAAAAAAAUAAUUCUGCAUGACCAUUAUGGUCCUAAAGAUAUAUGCAAAGGACAGAUUUUAGCACAAAGCGAUGAACGAAUCGAUCUGUCCCCAAAGGAAACAAAUAAUGACGAAUUAUCUCAAAAUUUACUCUUUGGGAAUCAACACAGUAAAUCAGUGAAUAGCCACAGAGGGAACAUAAAAGGCAAAAGAAGGUAAUCACGAGUCCUAAAUCAACACAAAUCACUUAUUUUGAUAUGAAUUGUAAAAUAUCUGAAAACACUUAAAAAUACUAUGAAAACACUUAUUCCGUAGCCCUAAAAAAAACUUCAUGCAUUGAACUAAUUCCUCCAUCUUUGAAGAAAAUUGACGAGCUAACCAUUAACAUAUAAUCACAAGGGAAGUGAACAAAAACCUCAAACAAAAUAAAGAUAUAAGACUCGGAGCUUCUCUCAAGAAUAGACCCGAAAAUCUACUAGCUAAUCCAAAUAACACGUUUGUCGAAAGAAAAGAGGGGUGAUAGGUAGAAUCGAAUGUCUAUUAAUCAACAUCUAUAGACUACUACUACUGCUAUAAGACAGUGAUCCAAUGUAAAGAGAAGAAAAAGAAACAUAAUUGACUUCAAAGUGAAGGUUAUGAGAACUAAUAUCACAAACAACAACGCCUAUACUCUUUUUAGUAGCAUAAUUGUUGAUUCCCGAAUUUACAGAAUGCAACAAACAAAAACAAUUAUAUGUAAAUGUAAGGCCCAGUUGACACUAUCAUUGAAAUGGCCUGGUGUGAUGCCCUUUCCCUCUCGAUUUCGAGCAUGAAUCAGCCUCUGGAUGGCUUUGAAUUAGCAAACCAACCAACAAUAUCCGAAUAUGGAAAGACAAUGCAUCAGUGACUAACCACAACUAACCUUGCAGUAGUUUUGAAAGAAAACUAAACUUAAAUUUGCAGCCUAAAACAUCAAUCCUACGAUAAUUCCGAAGAACAUUAUACAUUGAAUCCUCACUGAAACAAAAUCACCAUAGAAACGGUAGACGAGAUCUAUCUAAUGAAAAAUGCUGACACGAAACGAUGACCUAACCACACUGACAGUGAGGCAGUGGGUUUCGAACGGCAAAACAAUCGAUGAAAACAAGAUGAGAAAAACAUGAAAUCGACAACAGGGCGACAGUUGCGAAUGUCUAAUCAUUAAAACAACACAACAACCAUUGUACACCAAAUCCUAUGGUUAUCACAACCAAUUUGUAGGAAACGAUUCUCAGGCUCCAAUAGCACCACAGAUAACAGAAUCAUAAAGAAAGAACGACUAAAAUAAGACCCCAACAAAACUUUAGGUGAAGAGAGCCGUUUACCUCUUAUGUGGCAGCAAAUGAGACUCGAGCUAUCAGCAAAAUUUCACCACUUGGAGUUGAUGUCGUCGACUCAGGUACUUCCCAAUUGAGUGACUAUCUUCCCAGAAAGAAUGGAUGAGAAAAUUUUCGCAAAAAUACACUCUUUGAUUUUAGAGUUCCCAACCCCAAAUUUUGAACUAGACUAAAAUUUUCUCCUUCAGCUAUUUCAAAACCUCAUCUCUAACCUUUCACCUUAGAGCUUCUAACCUCGAAUCUCCAAAAAAAAAAAAAAAAAGAACACCCAAAAUUACCAACUUUUGUCGCCUGCCAAGGAAUCAAACCCCUAAAAUUUUUAGCCAAACUGUUAAAUCCUUCAAAGAAGAGAAAAAUAAUCUGAACACUCCAAAAUUGCGAACACCACCUGAUUUUCUCUACCCCAGAAUUUUCGAACCCCACCCGAAAAAAAGAAAAAGAAACCCUAAAAUUUUCGUCCUAAUUCUCGAAACCUGAUUUUUUACCCCCCAAAAAAAUUCCCCUUUCAAUGAACGAAGGGCCUCCUUAUAUAGGAGAUGACAAGGGGUAUUUUAGGGACUCAAAAGAAGGGAACCCUAGGAUUUGAAAUCCAAAAUUUUUUCUCUCACAGCCAAUCGAAAAUUGACGCACUUGUACCUUCGUGGUACGAAUUUAACGGAUUCAAAACAGAUUUAGGAAUAUCCUUUGAUACCCAUGAAUCAGCUACUAUCUGGAGAUUUCUAGAAGCUGCUCAACAGUUCUCGUAUGAACUCGUAUAAGCGUCACGUGAUGAAGAGGGAGAAAGAAAAUUCGGGUUAAGGGCUGAUGUUGGUGAGGUCGUUCUUGCUGAGGUUGAUAUUGUUGUGGGUUGAAAGCGUACAUGUGAGGUUCAGUUUGUUGUUCUUGUUUUUUGAAGUUGAGGGAGAAGAGUUUAUUGAGAGUGUGGGCCGGGUUAGGUUUGAAAUGGGUCAUUGGUGGUGGGCUGUUG
RNAcentral lists this long non-coding RNA (3378 nucleotides) under Capsicum annuum. Its description in RNAcentral is "long non-coding RNA (CANN_LNC006146)". The record is from RNAcentral. Lineage: Eukaryota; Viridiplantae; Streptophyta; Magnoliopsida; Solanales; Solanaceae.